AUGUUCACUGUUAUAUUCAUGUGUCUGUGGCUUUCACUAGGUGACUCCAUGGCAGAUUCAAUACAGCCACUUUCCCCUCGUGUAGUUGUAGAUGAAGGUGUUAAUGUUACUCUGUCCUGCAACUACAAACCCAGCAGUACUGCAACAAACAACUACCUGCACUGGUACAGACAAUAUCCAAAAUCUAAACCCGAGUUCCUUCUUUAUAUUUCUCAAACUGGAGCUCUGAGUUCCAACCCUCCCCCAAGAAUGUCUGCUAAAGUUGAUAAUAAUAAUGAUAAUAAACGAGUGGAUCUGCUCAUCUCCUCUGCUGCUGUAUCAGACUCUGCACUAUACUACUGUGCUCUGGUGUUGAAGGCCGUAGCUGACACCAUCUGCACCGGAAUCCAACACAGCAAACAUCAGCUCCCAAUAAGACACAACAUCGCCUUUGUCAGAGCAGGAGGAAAACCUCAGGUGGAGAUCAGGGCCUCAACUGGGCUGCUAGCCUCAGCUCAGGACUGGCAGCUGAAGGUUGACCUAGUGACCGCAAUGAGGUGGGCUGUAGGGGCUUUGCAGGGCAAUCUCUACAUCAGACACUCAGCUUCCUUGGCACCAGAGGGCUGCAGGAAAGAAGAGCCACCAAGAACAUCACCAAAGCUGUAG
Pangasianodon hypophthalmus (striped catfish) is the source of this 645-nucleotide non-coding RNA. Lineage: Eukaryota; Metazoa; Chordata; Actinopteri; Siluriformes; Pangasiidae. The record is from the annotation of a RefSeq genome assembly.